UUCCUGCAAGGAACCUUUUCAAGCAAACGUUUCCGCUAGGAACCUUUUAAAGCACACGUUUCCGCAAGGACCCUUUUAAAGGCAGAACACAACACCGCUACAGUCAAUGUUUGUGCCUUUACAUUGAACUCCUUUACAUCGCUGAAGACCGUGUGUCUCUAGCACAAAUCAUGUCAAAGUUAUGGCCAAUAUUACCGGAGCGAUGUUCUUUCUUCCUGCCGUGGAUUUGUGCGCCAGUCGCGGGGACGCUUUCAACUACUCACGAACAAUCCAUUUUUGGGGGGGGGGGUUGAUAACAAACGACAUUGUUUAGUUAGCAAGUCAUGUUACCUAGCCUGAUAUAACUGACCACUGACUAGGCUAUGCACAAAUUUGGAUGGCACAGGAAGAACAUGAAAAAGAAUGGGCUUCUCGAAGAGAAGCUUGUAACGUCUGCUUCCCAACUCAAACUCUCAAAAAAACGUAGAUCCCCCUGAACGCAGCUCACUCUCCAGAUCCCCGACACCUGUAUUCUGAUCACCUGUUCACACACCUCCUAUCGGAUUUCCUGUUAUCAACCUGUUGCCUGAUCACCCGGACAACGUUAGUAUCCUUUUCCCUGCCUGUAAUGUUACCUUUUUGGACCCCCUGUGUAUGACCUUCUGCCUGCCCCUGGACCCAGCUACCUGCCUCCUCCUGUGUAUGACCUUCUGCCUGCCCCUGGACCCAGCUACCUGCCCCUGGACCCAGCUACCUGCCUCCUCCUGUGUAUGACCUUCUGCCUGCCCCUGGACCCAGCUACCUACCUCCUGCUGUGUAUGACCUGCCUGCCCCUGGACCCAGCUACCUGCCUCCUCCUGUGUAUGACCUUCUGCCUGCCCCUGGACCCAGCUACCUGCCUCCUCCUGUGUAUGACCUUCUGCCUGCCCCUGGACCCAGCUACCUGCCCCUGGACCCAGCUACCUGCCUCCUCCUGUGUAUGACCUUCUGCCUGCCCCUGGACCCAGCUACCUACCUCCUGCUGUGUAUGACCUGCCUGCCCCUGGACCCAGCUACCUGCCUCCUCCUGUGUAUGACCUUCUGCCUGCCCCUGGACCCAGCUACCUGCCUCCUCCUGUGUAUGACCUUCUGCCUGCCCCUGGACCCAGCUUCCUGCCCCUGGACCCAGCUACCUGCCCCUGGACCCAGCUUCCUGCCCCUGGACCCAGCUUCCUGCCCCUGGACCCAGCUACCUGCCCCUGGACCCAGCUUCCUGCCCCUGGACCCAGCUUCCUGUCUCCUCCUGUGGUCCUUUACCUAUAAACACCUUCUGCACCCUGCUCUUGAAACCAGCUCUCUGUCUCCCAUCUUGUUCAUUACAAUGCUUCAAUGUUAGGCUGCAUAUGGAAGAGUGGGGUGAGGAUAUGUGAGAGCGGGAGUUUGUUUUGCAUGUCCCGGUGGGUGGAGAUUUCACUGAACCCUUAACCCUUAGCCAACAAUUUCCGCAGCCCCGCUGAAAUAGAAUUAACAUAAUAAUAAAAAAAUCCCUGGCAAAAUCUGUCUGUAACGCUAGAGAUAUCUGUUUUUUUCCCCCCUCAUCAAUCUACACACAAUACCCCCAUAAUGACGUCACAAUACCCCGUAAUGACGUCACAAUACCCCGUAAUGACAUCACAAUACCCCCAUAAUGACGUCACAAUACCCCGUAAUGACGUCACAAUACCCCGUAAUGACAUCACAAUACCCCCGUAAUGACGUCACAAUACCCCGUAAUGACAUCACAAUACCCCCGUAAUGACGUCACAAUACCCCCGUAAUGACAUCACAAUACCCCGUAAUGACAUCACAAUACCCCCGUAAUGACAUCACAAUACCCCGUAAUGACAUCACAAUACCCCCGUAAUGACAUCACAAUACCCCCUAAUGACGUCACAAUACCCCGUAAUGACGUCACAAUACCCCCGUAAUGACAUCACAAUACCCCCGUAAUGACGUCACAAUACCCCCGUAAUGACGUCACAAUACCCCCGUAAUGACAUCACAAUACCCCCGUAAUGACAUCACAAUACCCCCGUAAUGACAUCACAAUACCCCCGUAAUGACGAAGCAAUACCCCCAUAAUGACGUCACAAUACCCCCGUAAUGACAUCACAAUACCCCCGUAAUGACAUCACAAUACCCCCGUAAUGACAUCACAAUACCCCCGUAAUGACGAAGCAAUACCCCCAUAAUGACGUCACAAUACCCCCGUAAUGACAUCACAAUACCCCCGUAAUGACAUCACAAUACCCCCGUAAUGACAUCACAAUACCCCCGUAAUGACAUCACAAUACCCC
RNAcentral lists this long non-coding RNA (2294 nucleotides) under Salmo salar (Atlantic salmon). RNAcentral's name for it is "lncRNA (ENSSSAG00000109451.1)". The record is from RNAcentral. Lineage: Eukaryota; Metazoa; Chordata; Actinopteri; Salmoniformes; Salmonidae.